GCGGCUGCGGCGCCAGGCUUGCUGGAGGUUUUGGGAACAGCGGGGUUGCAGUCAGCGUGGGGGAAAAGGGGGUCACCGGCUGGCCGCUUGAGACACGAGUCAGGGGAGGGCUUGGAGUUGGUGAACGGUGCUUCAUGAGUCUCCGAGGAGUCCGAGACCCUGUAACCUGUUGCCGGCUGUGGCAGAUGAGACUCGGAAGACUCCACGUGUGCAAGUGAAUCUGGAAGGAAAGACAGCAGAUUGUUGCAAGUGUUUAUCGUUGCAUGCGCCACAAUUCCUGAGCCUGCGCUCUAGAGCCCGUGAGCGCGCCUAGAUCCCGCGCUUUGCAGCAAGAGAAGCCACUGCAGUGAGAAGCCCGCGCACCACAACUACAGAAAACACGUGUGCUGCGAUGAAGACCCAACCCAGCCAAUAAGAAAAAACUUUUUUUUAAAAAGUGUUUAUCUCUGGUUAAUGAGUGGUAUGGAGGACUUUCACUUUAGAUUUAUAUCCUCUGAAUGUUUAAAUUUGCAAGUGACAUAUAUAGCUGAUCAGGGUAUUUCCCAUUAUGAAAACUUAAAUUUUUAGUUUAUUUUAUUGGUUUUUAGAUUCUCUCAGUCUCAUGAAUUGUAAAGCCCAAAAGUCCUAAAGACUUUGAACAUAAGUCAUUGUGUCAGUUAUCAGUGUAUUGCCUCUCAGGUCCAAAUACAUACUUCAACAUAGGCUCUGUGAUAAAAAACUGAAUUCCUUUAAGCAUUUCUUCUUUAAAGUGAGCAUGAUGUUAAGCCUUCUCAGUUAAGUUCGCUGGAGGAAGAAGCUUCCUGCAGUUUCUGGGACCUGACCAGAGUUAGGAGUGUGGUUAGGAGAGACCGGACCAGAGGUAGGAGUGUGGUCAUGAAAACAUCCAGUGGGGUCCGCUCCAGCCACAGACCCAAACUCGGUCCUUCUGCAACCUUGCAGCUUCAGCCUGGCAAUAACCUGUAUGCAGCCCUCUUGACACAGAAACCAGAGCCCUGCGAGGCCUGCAGGCAACCACCUGCCCAUUGUCCUUCAGCAAGACUUUUGGGGGUCAGGGUCACACACUGAGCAGUCCUUCCGCCCCCCACCCCAGUAUUCCCCCCAGGCCUCUUGAAGGCCUUCUGUCCCUGCUGGCUCCCAGAUUCCCGUGGUUCCCCACAGGGCCAGUUGGUGAUUGCUCGCCUCCACCCGCUUCUCUGCCGUCUGCCUAGCAACUCCAGACUGCCUGCAGCCUGGCUAAACCAGCAAACUUCUCUGCUGUCUGGUAGCCAACCCUUGCUUUCUCCAACGAGAUCCAGACCCCUCUCAAAUUUGUCCUUGCAUACUCUCCCUCAGCCCUAGUUACCAUAUAGUUUCCUUUUAUCUUACAGUUCACUUUUAUCAUAGUUAAUUCUUGACAUUCAAAUUCUCUUGUUUAACCUACCAUGUGGUUUCUUCUUAUUGGACCCAGACUACUGCAGGACUUUGAAGCCAAACUAGGUAGGUUCUACUACUUACUAUUUGUGUGACCUUGGGCAAAAUUACUUCACCUCUUUAUGCCUCAAUUUCUUCAUCUAAAAUGAAGUUAAUGAUAAUAACACCUACCUCAUAGGGUUGUUAUGAGGGUUGACUAAAUUUAUGUAUAUAAAGCAGUUAGAAUAUGUGCUGACACAUAAUAAUAAAUGUUAGCUGGGACUUCCCUGGUGGCGCAGUGGUCAAGACUCCGCGUUCCCAAUGCAGGGGGCCCGGGUUCGAUCCCUGGUCAGGGAACUAGAUCCCACAUGCAUGCUGCAACUAAGAGUUCUCAUGCCGCAACUAAGGAGCCCGCCUGCUGCAACUAAGACCCGGCACAGUCAAAUAAAUAGGUUUUUUUUUAAUUAAAAAAAAAAUGUUAGCAACAACAAUUUAUGGUAUAAUUUCACUCCAUUAUCUCCAAUAUACCAUAUACUUCUGUCACUGAGUGUCUUACUACUCCUCAGACACACUAAAACUUUGCAAAAGGUACACAUAUCUUCUAUCUAAUGUGUGCUCUUUCACUUUCCUUACUUGCAGCUUUUCCCAGGGAAAAUUCAUUGCUGCCUUCCAUUUUUGCACAGCUUUUUUUUUUUU
Long non-coding RNA from Globicephala melas (long-finned pilot whale), 2085 nucleotides. RefSeq lists it as uncharacterized. The record is from RefSeq and is a predicted model, not a curated record. NCBI's taxonomy places the organism in Eukaryota, Metazoa, Chordata, Mammalia, Artiodactyla, Delphinidae.